This 398-nucleotide long non-coding RNA is filed under the name Homo sapiens (human). RNAcentral describes it as "HSALNT0145741". The record is from RNAcentral. Lineage: Eukaryota; Metazoa; Chordata; Mammalia; Primates; Hominidae.
AAAACCGGAGAUUUGGUUAACAAAAUAGUCAAAGUCACUCUUAUAGAAGUUUUGUUUUAUUUUUUGUUUAAAAUUUUUUUACCAUUUUGUAGCUGACAAGUACUGACAAUAAACUGCUAUAAGCAUGUGUAGAAAAAGGCUCACCUUGAGUAGUUAAGAGUAAGGAAAAGGAAUAGUGUGUAGCAUCGUCUUAGUGGUAAGACUUAAGUUGAUUUAGUAGCAAAUGGAAGUACUAGUGAACCACAUAGAUUUCAGAAGUAGGAGUAAAAGGUUAGAAGAUGUGUCAUUUUAAUCUUCUCUAGACUUUUUCUUAAUUUUUAGAAAUGUAAGUGGACUGAACAGAGGAAAACCAAAACACAGCUGGUCAAUAAUAAGUUAAAUUAAUUUGACAAACUGCC